GCAUAUCCAUUAGCCGAGGAAAAGAAAAUACAAUGAUUCCCCUAGUAACGGCGAGUGAACAGGGAAAAGCUCAAAGUUGGAAACCUCCUGGUCCUAGAUUAGGCGGAUUGUAAACUAAAGCUCUUGGGUAGUACGGUUGGCCUGAUAAAAAAAGUUCUCUGGAAAGAGGCGACAUAGAGGGUGAUAUCCCCGUCUUUGGUCAGAGCUCAAUCAUGCGUUUGCCCUUUAGCGAAGAGUCAGGUUGUUUGGGAAUGCAGCCUAAAAUGGGAGGUAAAUCUCUCCUAAAGCUAAAUAUUGACGAAAGACCGAUAGCGAACAAGUACCGUGAGGGAAAGAUGAAAAGCACUUUGAAAAGAGGGUCAAAAAGUACGUGAAAUUGCUGAAAGGGAACCGUAUGAAAUCAGUCUGAUGUGUUGGUAAUCAAUCUGGAUCUCGAUCUGGAUGCACUUGCCGAUGUAUUAGCCUGCGACAGUUUGAUCUGGAGGAAAAAAGAUGGGAGAAUGUGGCCUUGGCUUCGGUUAAGGUGUUAUAGCUCCUGUCAAAAUACUUUGGAUUGGACUGAGGACUGCAGCGAGCCGCAAGGUAAAGGUCUCGGGCGCUUGUUCUGGCUAUGUAAGAAAUCUCUGCUUCGGGUGGUAUCUUGCCUAAUCGGGACAACACGCUUGUUUCUCUUUUUUCUCGCUUAGGUCGUAGGCAUAAUGAUUUUAUAUGACCCGUCUUGAAACACGGACCAAGGAGUCCACCAUUGCUGCAAGUCUUUGGGUGUAGAAACCCCGGGGCGGAAGGAAACUGACCAAGAUAUGAAGGCAUUUAGCUGGCAAUAUCAUCCGGCGAGGACGUUUUAUACUGAAUUGACCGAGAUUAAGCAUCAAUGAUGGGACCCGAAAGAUGGUGAACUAUACUUGAAUAGGGUGAAGCCAGAGGAAACUCUGGUGGAAGCUCGUAGCGAUUCUGACGUGCAAAUUCGAUCGUCAAAUUUGAGUAUAGGGGGCCGAAAGACUAAUCGAAACCAUCUAGUAGCUGGGUUCCUGCUGAG
This 1036-nucleotide ribosomal RNA is filed under the name Absidia caerulea. Its description in RNAcentral is "LSU rRNA". It matches the Rfam family "Eukaryotic large subunit ribosomal RNA", at positions 38 to 965 of the family's 3401-position model. The record is from RNAcentral. Lineage: Eukaryota; Fungi; Mucoromycota; Mucoromycetes; Mucorales; Cunninghamellaceae.